Molecule: long non-coding RNA, 132 nt
Organism: Engraulis encrasicolus (European anchovy)
Lineage: Eukaryota; Metazoa; Chordata; Actinopteri; Clupeiformes; Engraulidae
Exons: 3
Source: RefSeq, a predicted model, not a curated record
AGGGUCAAACAGUAGUCAGAAUCCAGACCAGGACCAGCAGUGGUACCAAGCUUUACAAGGAGGGUCAUCAGCACAUGUCUAUGACACCAUAAAUACAGCUGAGCAGACUAUGGAAGAGGAUGCUGUCUACUC